RNAcentral lists this ribosomal RNA (425 nucleotides) under uncultured Anaerofustis sp. RNAcentral describes it as "bacterial SSU rRNA". It matches the Rfam family "Bacterial small subunit ribosomal RNA", at positions 355 to 794 of the family's 1533-position model. The record is from RNAcentral. Lineage: Bacteria; Bacillati; Bacillota; Clostridia; Eubacteriales; Eubacteriaceae.
UGGGGAAUAUUGUACAAUGGAGGGAACGUCUGAUACAGCAAUGCCGCGUGAGUGAUGAAGGUUUUAGGAUCGUAAAGCUCUGUCUUUGGGGAUGAACAAAUGACAGUACCCAAGGAGGAAGCUCCGGCUAACUACGUGCCAGCAGCCGCGGUAAUACGUAGGGAGCAAGCGUUGUCCGGAAUUACUGGGCGUAAAGGGCACGCAGGCGGCUUGGUCAGUCAGAUGUGAAAGUUUGCAGCUUAACUGUAAAAGUGCAUUUGAUACUGCCAGGCUUGAGUCUCGGAGAGGUAAGCGGAAUUCCUAGUGUAGUAGUGAAAUGCGUAGAGAUUAGGAAGAACACCGGCGGCGAAGGCGGCUUACUGGACGAGUACUGACGCUCAGGUGCGAAAGCGUGGGGAGCAAACAGGAUUAGAUACCCUGGUAGU